AUGACGAAGGGAACAUCAUCAUUUGAAAAGCAUCGGAAUAAGACACACACGUUGUACUGCAGCUGUGGCUCUAAGGCCUACCAUCUCCAGAAGUUGACCUGUGGCAAAUCUGGCUACUCUGCCAAGAGAAAGAGAAAGUAUAACUGGAGUGCAAAAGGUAAAAGACUAAAUACCACAGGGACUGGUCAAAUGAGGCAUCUAAAAAUAGUAUAUAUCUAAGAUUCAGCCAUAGAUUCUGUGAAGGAACACCACCGAAACCCAAGAAGGCGGCUGUUAUAGCAUUCAAGUUCAUAUUAAGGAUUUCAGCAGUCACACGAUAA
RNA transcript from Phacochoerus africanus (Common warthog), 320 nucleotides. It is a transcript of the gene named 60S ribosomal protein L37-like, with no coding region annotated. Lineage: Eukaryota; Metazoa; Chordata; Mammalia; Artiodactyla; Suidae. The transcript has a single exon. The record is from RefSeq and is a predicted model, not a curated record.